This is a non-coding RNA of Lentinula aciculospora, 86 nucleotides long. The record is from the annotation of a GenBank genome assembly. NCBI's taxonomy places the organism in Eukaryota, Fungi, Basidiomycota, Agaricomycetes, Agaricales, Omphalotaceae.
GCCCCCAUUGUCUAAUGGUUAUGACGUCAGACUUCUAUAUCACGUGGUUAAUCUGGAGGUUGCGGGUUCGAGUCCCGCUGGGGGUU